This 769-nucleotide ribosomal RNA is filed under the name uncultured Pseudoalteromonadaceae bacterium. RNAcentral describes it as "bacterial SSU rRNA". It matches the Rfam family "Bacterial small subunit ribosomal RNA", at positions 28 to 776 of the family's 1533-position model. Lineage: Bacteria; Pseudomonadati; Pseudomonadota; Gammaproteobacteria; Alteromonadales; Pseudoalteromonadaceae. The record is from RNAcentral.
AUUGAACGCUGGCGGCAGGCCUAACACAUGCAAGUCGAGCGGAAACGAGUUAUCUGAACCUUCGGGGAACGAUAACGGCGUCGAGCGGCGGACGGGUGAGUAAUGCCUAGGAAAUUGCCCUGAUGUGGGGGAUAACCAUUGGAAACGAUGGCUAAUACCGCAUGAUGCCUACGGGCCAAAGAGGGGGACCUUCGGGCCUCUCGCGUCAGGAUAUGCCUAGGUGGGAUUAGCUAGUUGGUGAGGUAAGGGCUCACCAAGGCGACGAUCCCUAGCUGGUCUGAGAGGAUGAUCAGCCACACUGGAACUGAGACACGGUCCAGACUCCUACGGGAGGCAGCAGUGGGGAAUAUUGCACAAUGGGCGCAAGCCUGAUGCAGCCAUGCCGCGUGUAUGAAGAAGGCCUUCGGGUUGUAAAGUACUUUCAGUCGUGAGGAAGGCGGCGUCGUUAAUAGCGGCGUUGUUUGACGUUAGCGACAGAAGAAGCACCGGCUAACUCCGUGCCAGCAGCCGCGGUAAUACGGAGGGUGCGAGCGUUAAUCGGAAUUACUGGGCGUAAAGCGCAUGCAGGUGGUUUGUUAAGUCAGAUGUGAAAGCCCGGGGCUCAACCUCGGAAUAGCAUUUGAAACCGGCAGACUAGAGUACUGUAGAGGGGGGUAGAAUUUCAGGUGUAGCGGUGAAAUGCGUAGAGAUCUGAAGGAAUACCGGUGGCGAAGGCGGCCCCCUGGACAGAUACUGACACUCAGAUGCGAAAGCGUGGGGAGCAAACAGG